UGAUAACAAGGCUGAAACAGAUGCUUCUAAUACUUGAACUCAAUAUAUCGAGAAUGUCCGAGGGCGAACCUGGAGAAUGGAACUGCUGCUAACAGGCUUACCCUGGACACCGAAUCUAUCUCUCUUUGCUCCAAUUCUCACUACUAUAAAUAAGUCGGAAUUAAUACAAGCAAUUUCAGAAUUCAUAUAUCAGAAUAAUAAUAAGGCAUUGUUUCGCUAAUAAAUCACUAAGAAAUUGUACUAUACGAAAACGGAUCGAUAGCUGUUCAACCGACCUAUGAAUUCAUUAGCGAGGUACUACGUUGCCAGGAUACCCUCGUUUCAUGGUCGAGGUACGUACCUUCUAUUUCUAUGAAUGAGAGCUAUGUAGCCCGGGAAACGAAGAACGAAUGGUUCUAUCCGGGAGAACAUUUCUUAUACGACCACGAGACCAGUUGCCUGGCCUCAAUCAAUUAGUUAUUUGACUUAAAGAAUGUGCUUAGCUACUUUCAGAAUGAAUGGUUCUACGCUCCGAACGAGUCACUAUAAAUGAUUGAAGACCGAGUGAACUACCCUUGUCGACCCCUAGUCCAGUUGCCCUCCUAAUAAUAGAUAUAAUAAUGACCUUUGUUCUGAAACUCCCCGCGGGAAGUCCUACUCCACUAGAGCCGAGGCUGCCACACUGCCCUGAUAUGCUGAAACAGGAAACAAGGGAUUCCACUACUCAAUGUAAGAAUCAAAUCGAUACUAGAGGGAAUGGUAGCACUACAAAGAAGGAUCCAGCUAAUGGCCUCAACCCUGACUUAUUCGUUUCUAAGCCUAGCUAUCCUGUCCCUAACUCUGACGCCCUCCCAGUGAAGUUCUGAAACUAAUGCCUAUGCUAUGUGUCUUGCUUUACUGCUUAUGAGACCUUAGCCCAACGUCCCUUAUUGACCUCUUAUUUACUAUUGGAAAAACCUAGGCCUUCAAGCCAGUAUUCACCCCUAAAACGAACUCCUCUUGCUUUCAUUCCGUAUUGAACCUAUGUGUAUUUCACCUUUGAGCUUGUCAUUCCUUCCUAUCAGCCUUACGGCCCCAGCCCUAGAGUAGCUCAAUAUACAUCGACCCUUGCUUUCGUUCUGUAGUUACUGGUCCGGGUCUUUGCCUACGAGAUUGAGUCUACCGUCCCUUGGGUUUAGUAUGACUUUCCGGGCAAACAGGCUUAACUAUCCUUUCUUUUAGUCCCCUUUCUUUCAUUCUAGUUCUAUGGGCUUAUUGUUAGAUGCACUAGCGGAGUACCCGGAGUGAAAGGUGGGGCAAAGAAUGCAGUUGGUGCUUUAGAUAGAUCGUUUUUUUCUAUUGGGUUGGGGAUGUCUUCUAAGCAUUAGUUUUAUGAACUUGGGGUCUCUGCGUUCUUAUUAGCGGUGGCUCUCUUCUCUUCUUGUUUUGUUAUUGGGAGCGGAGCUCAGUUCCUGGGUUCGAUUCUUGUUAUUAGCGGUUGGAUUUCUCUUUCUUAUUGUAAUUCCUAGUUGGUAGCUGUUCUCUCAUCAGAUCAGUAGUAACUUGAUUCUAUAGGGUCUAAUAUUAGUAUUUGAUAGCCAGGGAAGCAAGCCUCUCAUCUCAGGUAGUAGUGUCAGUCAGUUUCAAAGCAAAGAGAGGCAGUUUUGACUACUGCGCUAGUAAGCUCAGCUAGAGCAUAGGAAUUUAGGGCGGAGUUCCCGAAUGAUAGAUGGGAUAUUCAAACUAAUCAAAGUCGGGAGAGGAAAACUCUAACUCGCGCGCAAUUCUACUAGAUCAAAGCGCGGAUAGUGAAAUUGAUAGUGUUGAGCUACAGAGUGCAAGUAAUCAAUUGAAGAAUAAGAGAAGGUCAAGUCAGAUCCGAGGUCGGCAGCAGUAUUCCCCGUUCCUAGGUGAGUUCUUGUAUAGUAUCGGUGUGUAGUCCAAUCCCUUAGGUUUAGGUGCAGUUCCAUCAGUAGUAUUUCUUUUAUUGGCAGAGUCGACUUAGCUAGGUAAGCGAGAGAGCGAAAGCAGAGACCUUUUGAACCCGCUAAUAAACAACUAAUCUGAUAUCAGUUAAUUCAUUAUUGUAUUAUGGAGAAUGAACAAACAAGCAAAGCAAGAAAGCAGAAUUAAGGGCAUAGUUCAGUAAGAAGAGCUGGGAGCAGUGUCGGAGUGAAAGGCAUUAGUUGAAGUUCGAAGCUAAGCGCGGAUUCACAAGCAAGAAUGCCAGGAACGAGUCUAAUAACGGGUAGAGGUGGACUAAAACAAUUACUGGUAGUAAUGGCAAGCACGGAUCUAAUUAAGGAAAUCAAGUUAGGAGUAGGUCUUUGCUACCGGCAAAGGGUAUGUUAUCUUAAAGAGUCAGACUUGGGUUACUUAUUGCAAUUCUGACCUGAUUCUUAUUAGCAAUAGAUCAACUCUUUCCGAUACUAAUAUAAGUUUGCGAGGUUUGAGUUGGUUAGGUUAGACAGGAAAGACAGCCUGAGUUACUAGAUUCAUGCUUAGGUUCGAUUCUUUUCUCUGACCUUUGAUCAGUGGUUCUCAUUAGCUGUUAUUUCAGGCGUUAGGAUAGUAACGUAAAAUACUGUGUGGAAUUACGAAAAAGUCAACGGAACAAGUCUGGGUUUAGAACAUAAGUAUUGUUGGCGCUGGUCCAAUCCUUGGUUUCUCUCUUAUGAAUUGAGGAAAUAGAAAAAGAAGUGAUAGUUUGAAAUCGAGGAAAGUAAUACGGAGGGUAAGCCGGAGUUCUGAGUUGAGGUAUUGUUGUUGGCCGGCACUAGCCCAAUCCUUAUUAUUGGUA
RNAcentral lists this long non-coding RNA (2758 nucleotides) under Musa acuminata (dwarf banana). RNAcentral describes it as "long non-coding RNA (MACU_LNC008398)". The record is from RNAcentral. Lineage: Eukaryota; Viridiplantae; Streptophyta; Magnoliopsida; Zingiberales; Musaceae.